AUGCUGCGCUGGAGGAGGCGCUGUCGUGCUCGCCUGCGCAAGGUGCGGGCUUUGCAAGGCAGGGCUCGCUGCUCUCCAAGGGGCAGGCGACAGCCACUGGUGACACCGUGUGUCACAACACACGUAUUUUCAACUUGUACACUGCAAAAGCACGCAACCGCACUCGUUUCUAUCCCCCCCUUCCGCGCCUGGAGAGGAGCUCCAGCUGUGCCACGAGCAGGCCAGCCCAGGAGCUGUCACUUCCCCCUCUCUCCUUCUCUCUCUCGACUUUUACCUUCUUUUUCUCUUUGUUUCUAA
This 297-nucleotide ribosomal RNA is filed under the name Triticum aestivum (bread wheat). Its description in RNAcentral is "partial small subunit ribosomal RNA". Lineage: Eukaryota; Viridiplantae; Streptophyta; Magnoliopsida; Poales; Poaceae. The record is from RNAcentral.